Molecule: transfer RNA, 72 nt
Filed under: Myxococcales bacterium
Lineage: Bacteria; Pseudomonadati; Myxococcota; Myxococcia; Myxococcales
Also listed under: 3 other names
Description: tRNA-Val
Rfam family: tRNA
About the family: Transfer RNA (tRNA) molecules are approximately 80 nucleotides in length. Their secondary structure includes four short double-helical elements and three loops (D, anti-codon, and T loops). Further hydrogen bonds mediate the characteristic L-shaped molecular structure. tRNAs have two regions of fundamental functional importance: the anti-codon, which is responsible for specific mRNA codon recognition, and the 3' end, to which the tRNAs corresponding amino acid is attached (by aminoacyl-tRNA synthetases). tRNAs cope with the degeneracy of the genetic code in two manners: having more than one tRNA (with a specific anti-codon) for a particular amino acid; and 'wobble' base-pairing, i.e. permitting non-standard base-pairing at the 3rd anti-codon position.
Source: RNAcentral
AGGCACGUAGCUCAGCGGCAGAGCACUACCUUGACACGGUAGGGGUCGGCGGUUCAAACCCGCCCGUGCCUA